UCGGGAAUUUUGGGCAAUGGGCGAAAGCCUGACCCAGCAACGCCGCGUGAGGGAUGAAGUAUUUCGGUAUGUAAACCUCGAAAGAAUGGGAAGAAUAAAUGACGGUACCAUUUAUAAGCUCCGGCUAACUACGUGCCAGCAGCCGCGGUAAUACGUAGGGAGCAAGCGUUGUUCGGAUUUACUGGGCGUAAAGGGCGCGUAGGCGGCGCGGUAAGUCACUUGUGAAAUCUCUGAGCUUAACUCAGAACGGCCAAGUGAUACUGCUGAGCUAGAGUGCGGAAGAGGCAACCGGAAUUCUUGGUGUAGCGGUGAAAUGCGUAGAUAUCAAGAGGAACACAUGGGGCGAAGGCGGGUUGCUGGGCCGACACUGACGCUGAUGCGCGAAAGCCAGGGGAGCAAACG
This 402-nucleotide ribosomal RNA is filed under the name uncultured bacterium. Its description in RNAcentral is "bacterial SSU rRNA". It matches the Rfam family "Bacterial small subunit ribosomal RNA", at positions 355 to 774 of the family's 1533-position model. The record is from RNAcentral.